GAUGAAGAACGUAGCGAAAUGCGAUAAGUAGUGUGAAUUGCAGAAUUCAGUGAAUCAUCGAAUCUUUGAACGCACAUUGCGCCCCAUGGCAUUCCGUGGGGCAUACCUGUUCGAGCGUCAUUUCAACCUUCGGGCGGUCCUUUGGUCCGUCUGGAUUUGGGUGUCGUCUAAUGGCGUGCCUUGAAAGAAUUGGCGGUGUAGGUGCCGGCUUCGAGCGUAGCAGAUGCGAUUCGCUUUGGAAGCUGGCGUGCUCACCUUGCCAGAAAAGUCUCUGAAGAGCUGACCUCGGAUCAGGUAGGGAUACCCGCUGAACUUAAGCAUAUCAAUAAGCGGAGGA
Molecule: unclassified non-coding RNA, 337 nt
Filed under: soil metagenome
Description: partial contains 5.8S ribosomal RNA, internal transcribed spacer 2, and large subunit ribosomal RNA
Rfam family: 5.8S ribosomal RNA (bases 1-120)
Source: RNAcentral